RNAcentral lists this unclassified non-coding RNA (2341 nucleotides) under Drosophila erecta. RNAcentral's name for it is "GG23520". The record is from RNAcentral. Lineage: Eukaryota; Metazoa; Arthropoda; Insecta; Diptera; Drosophilidae.
ACCCUCUUUUGGUGUGCCUUAGGUGGUUUGAUAUUGGGUGGAAUUGUUGUCAUUUCAUACUGGAUAAGACGAUGCAGGACACUUGCAGCGAGGUCCACGACCCGGCAGCGACGCAUCCGGAGCCGGAGCUCAUCAUCAGCUGCCACCGGGAUCAGCGGGAUCAGUGCCAUCGGAAUAAUCUCCAGAGGGAAAGCAAAGUCAUCACCCGAUCACAAUCAUCGGCGUCGACCGCGCCGCAUGCUCCAGUGCAUCAACUGAAGCAGCAGCAAUCUCUGCCCACACCUCUGACCCAGCAGCCCAGCCACAAUCCGCACCACAACCCCCAGACCCCCAAGUCCGUCUCCAUUCUCGUCUACAAGACCCUGAACACCGUCUUCAAGAGCAGCCGCAAGAUCAUCGUUCGUGUGUGUGAGGUGGCCAGCGCCAAGAAGUCCUUCACCAUGUUCAAGUUCAACAAGGCCGCCCAGCAGCAGCGGAUCGACAAUCGGAACAGUGCCGUCACUGGACACGAUCCCUUCGUCCGACCACCAGUGCCCGAAAAGAAAGUGAGGAACAUCAUGAAGAAGCUGCACAAGGCGAACGGCCUCAAACGCUCCAACUCGGCGAUCGAGUUCGAUGUCUCGGCCCUGACAGCUGCCAAUCGCCGACAGAUCUACAGUAGCAAUCGGUCGGCGAGCUCGGAGCAAGAUAACUCAGAUCUGUCCGAGCACUCGGAGAAAUCGCCGCUGGUUAGCGCGAGGUUAGACAAUCUAGCUAGGCUCUUCUUUAGCAAGUCGAUGCCAGCGGAAACCGGAAGUAGAGAUACCAUAGAUUCAGUACUGACAACAAGGCCCAACAUCAAGUACCAGUACUCCGCCUUGGACAGUGGCAAUGGGAUCGUGGAGCGAAGUCCCCGGGAGCGGGCUCAGAGGGAGAAGGCGCUGAAUGCCACUCAGGAAUGGAUUCAGGGUGCCAAUGGGCGCUACGAAGUGAUUGCCCACCUGGAUGAGAUCGGUUCAAGACAUGGCAAGAACUGGUUUCUGGUCACAGAUGCCUCGGUGCGCACGGAUCGUCUGCAGACUCUGCUACCUCUGCCCGCCGACUGUGUGGCCUUCGAGGAUCUCCCGCCCAACGAAAGCGCCAGGGAAAUACUCAUGGAGCUCCUGGGUUCGCUGCAUCAUCCGUACAUUUACCCCGUUCUGGAUUUGGGCUUUUUGCGCAACAGCUCCUAUAACUACGCCUGCCUGGUGACGCCCUUCAACUCGCGGGGCAGUCUCAAAGAUCUCAUAUAUAAGGCGCAGUGGAACGAGCCGUGGGCCAGGAAGUACACGCGAAAGCCAAAUGGCUUACCGGUGAGCCAGGUGCAGCGCCUGGGGCGACAGAUCCUGGAGGCACUGCUCUUCCUGAAGGAGCGCGGUUUUCCGCUUCACGGUCACCUGCACAGCGGCAAUGUCAUCCUGCAGAACGGGGCAGCCAGGCUAUCGGGCCUGGAGAACGGCCUCCUGGGCCUCAGUUCUCGCAUUAACGCCGUCAUGUGGUCCCGCUCGGUCACCGAGAUCGAGAACGUGGACAUCGUCUGCUUCGGCCACCUGCUCUACGAGAUGUGCACGGGCCAGGAGCUGACCACCCCCAAGCCGUCCAUGCGGGUGCUCGAGAUGGAGCUGCAGCACUAUCCACAAAUUGGCCAGAUUCUGGAAAUACUAGGCCUGAUCUUUGAGCCGCCCAGCGGUGUCUGCCCCUCCGUUGAGGACCUAGUCCUUUGCGAUCUGUUUCGCAGCAUCGACUUGCGCGAGCUUCGCGGUCCCUGUUUCAGUACAAUUAAGCCGAGCCUCAGCAGGUCCACCCUGAACCUGCUGCAAGCGGUGAAGAAGCGCCAAUGCGCCUCCCUGGGCCACUCCCUCAGCGAGGCCAACUCCCCCUGCACGCCCCCUUCGACGCCGCACGAUCGACGAACUGGUGUUCUGCCUGCGCCCUAUGAAGUCUUUCGUAUGUACUAAACCAAACCAAACCAAACCGAACCGAACCGAACCAAAACCAAAGAAAUCCGAACCCGAAACCCAAAACCAACAAUGAACAACUCACAAAUAUAUCUCACAAUUCAAAUUUACAAAACGAAUAUCGUGUGAAAUAAAACCCAAAUGAAUACCUGAAUAAAAUUAAAUUAAAUCAAUAUACAAGCCGAUAAAGCAAACACAACAUUUUUUUGUACGAAAAUUAAUGUUUUUAUGCCAGACGGAAACGAAUCUAAUGCUGCAAAAAGUAAUUCACAGUGUUUGUUGUAGCCAAAUGUGUAUCAGCCGAACAAUGGACUCAUUUGACAUAUCAAGCGAUUCGGAGGAGGGUCUCCUGGAGGAGAUUGUCG